This 497-nucleotide ribosomal RNA is filed under the name uncultured bacterium. RNAcentral's name for it is "partial 16S ribosomal RNA". It matches the Rfam family "Bacterial small subunit ribosomal RNA", at positions 28 to 507 of the family's 1533-position model. The record is from RNAcentral.
GAUGAACGCUGGCGGCGUGCCUAAUACAUGCAAGUCGAGCGAACAGACGAGGAGCUUGCUCCUCUGACGUUAGCGGCGGACGGGUGAGUAACACGUGGAUAACCUACCUAUAAGACUGGGAUAACUUCGGGAAACCGGAGCUAAUACCGGAUAAUAUAUUGAACCGCAUGGUUCAAUAGUGAAAGACGGUUUUGCUGUCACUUAUAGAUGGAUCCGCGCCGCAUUAGCUAGUUGGUAAGGUAACGGCUUACCAAGGCAACGAUGCGUAGCCGACCUGAGAGGGUGAUCGGCCACACUGGAAGAGAGGCACGGUCCAGACUCCGACGGGGGGCAGCAGUAGGGAAUCUUCCGCAAUGGGCGAGAGCCUGACGGAGCAACGCCGCGUGAGUGAUGAAGGUCUUCGGAUCGUAAAACUCUGUUAUUAGGGAAGAACAAAUGUGUAAGUAACUAUGCACGUCUUGACGGUACCUAAUCAGAAAGCCACGGCUAACUACGUG